GGCACUGAAGGGGCGACCAGAAAACCAGGCGUGGAAUGAUGUGGGCGGGAUUUCAUCUGAGUUCUUAACUGUCAAGUUCAAGAAAGUGAGCCAGAGGCUAAUCAACACUGAACUGUGACAGAAAACAUCAGAGCAGUGAAUAAUAGGUGAAAGCUGAA
Molecule: long non-coding RNA, 158 nt
Organism: Carassius carassius (crucian carp)
Lineage: Eukaryota; Metazoa; Chordata; Actinopteri; Cypriniformes; Cyprinidae
Exons: 3
Source: RefSeq, a predicted model, not a curated record